GACAGAGGAGCCAAGCGUUGUCCGGAGUAACUGGGCGUAAAGCGCACGCAGGCGGUCGUGCACGUGGGGUGUGAAAACUGGCGGCUUAACUGCCAGAGGCCACCUCAUACGGCGCGGCUGGAGCCCUGCAGAGGUCCACGGAAUUGCCGGAGUAGUGGUGAAAUGCGUAGAGAUCGGCAGGAACACCCAGGGGGAAACCAGUGGACUGGGCAGGAGCUGACGCUCAGGUGCGAAAGCGUGGGGAGCGAACCGG
RNAcentral lists this ribosomal RNA (253 nucleotides) under uncultured bacterium. Its description in RNAcentral is "partial 16S ribosomal RNA". It matches the Rfam family "Bacterial small subunit ribosomal RNA", at positions 524 to 776 of the family's 1533-position model. The record is from RNAcentral.